AGCGAACGCUGGCGGCAGGCUUAACACAUGCAAGUCGAACGGUCCUUCGGGACAGUGGCGGACGGGUGAGUAACACGUGGGAACGUGCCCUUAGCUUCGGAACAACCCAGGGAAACUUGGGCUAAUACCGGAUGUGCCCUUCGGGGGAAAGAUUUAUCGGCUUUGGAGCGGCCCGCGUCUGAUUAGCUAGUUGGUGGGGUAAUGGCCUACCAAGGCGACGAUCAGUAGCUGGUCUGAGAGGAUGACCAGCCACACUGGGACUGAGACACGGCCCAGACUCCUACGGGAGGCAGCAGUGGGGAAUCUUGCGCAAUGGGCGAAAGCCUGACGCAGCCAUGCCGCGUGGACGAUGAAGGUCUUAGGAUUGUAAAAUCCUUUCAGCGGGGACGAUAAUGACGGUACCCGCAGAAGAAGCCCCGGCUAACUUCGUGCCAGCAGCCGCGGUAA
RNAcentral lists this ribosomal RNA (447 nucleotides) under uncultured bacterium. RNAcentral describes it as "partial 16S ribosomal RNA". It matches the Rfam family "Bacterial small subunit ribosomal RNA", at positions 29 to 523 of the family's 1533-position model. The record is from RNAcentral.